RNAcentral lists this transfer RNA (64 nucleotides) under Candidatus Nealsonbacteria bacterium CG_4_10_14_0_2_um_filter_38_17. RNAcentral's name for it is "tRNA-Asn". RNAcentral also lists the same sequence under 1 other name. Lineage: Bacteria; Candidatus Nealsoniibacteriota. The record is from RNAcentral.
CCGCGGUAGCUCAACGGUAGAGCAAAUCCCUGUUAAGGAUAAGGUUGUAGGCCUGUUCCGUUAA